UUUGAUGGUCUUCCUCAAUUUGCUGAUCUGAGCUUCGUAAUCUUCCUUGGCACUCUUCUUAUCCCUAUUGGUAAGCUCCAGAAUUCUUUCCAAGUCUCGAACAAUACGCCAUGCUCAAUCCAGUUCGUUGUUUCGUCCAUCAAGUUUUGAAUUUGCUCCUAGGAGAGCACCGCCGACCCACUCUUUCUUACCUUUUUCAUCUCUUGCUCUCUUCUUACUGGUC
This 223-nucleotide long non-coding RNA is filed under the name Lathyrus oleraceus (garden pea). RNAcentral's name for it is "Pisum sativum (pea) long non-coding RNA (PSAT_LNC025672)". The record is from RNAcentral. Lineage: Eukaryota; Viridiplantae; Streptophyta; Magnoliopsida; Fabales; Fabaceae.